Molecule: ribosomal RNA, 332 nt
Filed under: uncultured bacterium
Lineage: Bacteria
Description: bacterial SSU rRNA
Rfam family: Bacterial small subunit ribosomal RNA
Source: RNAcentral
UCAGAGGUGAAAUCCCACGGCUCAACUGUAGAACUGCCUUUGAUACUGAUAGACUUGAGUUAUUGUGAAGUGAUUAGAAUGUGUGGUGUAGCGGUGAAAUGCAUAGAUAUCACACAGAAUACCAAUUGCGAAGGCAGAUUUCUGACUAUAUACUGACGCUCAUGUACGAAAGCGUGGGGAGCGAACAGGAUUAGAUACCCUGGUAGUCCACGCCGUAAACGAUGGAUACUAGCUGUUGGGGGUAUAUUGGUUAGAUGAGUGGCUAAGCGAAAGUGAUAACUCCCCCGGGUGGGGACUACGGUCGCGAGACUGAAACUAAAUUGAAUUGACGG